GAUGAACGCUGGCGGCGUGCCUAAUACAUGCAAGUCGAGCGAACGGACGAGAAGCUUGCUUCUCUGAUGUUAGCGGCGGACGGGUGAGUAACACGUGGAUAACCUACCUAUAAGACUAGGAUAACUUCGGGAAACCGGAGCUAAUACCGGAUAAUAUUUUGAACCGCAUGGUUCAAAAGUGAAAGACGGUCUUGCUGUCACUUAUAGAUGGAUCCGCGCUGCAUUAGCUAGUUGGUAAGGUAACGGCUUACCAAGGCAACGAUGCAUAGCCGACCUGAGAGGGUGAUCGGCCACACUGGAACUGAGACACGGUCCAGACUCCUACGGGAGGCAGCAGUAGGGAAUCUUCCGCAAAGGGCGAAAGCCUGACGGAGCAACGCCGCGUGAGUGAUGAAGGUCUUCGGAUCGUAAAACUCUGUUAUUAGGGAAGAACAUAUGUGUAAGUAACUGUGCACAUCUUGACGGUACCUAAUCAGAAAGCCACGGCUAACUACGUG
Molecule: ribosomal RNA, 497 nt
Filed under: uncultured bacterium
Lineage: Bacteria
Description: partial 16S ribosomal RNA
Rfam family: Bacterial small subunit ribosomal RNA
Source: RNAcentral